GGCGCGCUCGGCGUCCGCUGGCAUCUUUCGGGCGACUCCCGGAGUGCGCACUGCCGGUUCGCAGCGCGGCGCCGCAGCGGCCGGCUCGGGCAGUUUUCAGUCAGAGUCUAUUGUGGCACAGAAAGACUCAUUUUCCUUGGAUUUUAAGGAAGAACCAAAAGUUACAUAGUGUCAGCUCGAGUGAAGAAUGAGGACGCGCUGUAUUUUUUAUGAACCUGCUUUUCUGUUCAACUGCCCUUAAAAGCAGUAUGCACUAUAGUGAAUAUAACUAUGUGUUUGAUCACAUCUCCUAGAGACACUCACAGAAGAAAACUUUCAGAACAGUUUUAGAAAGAGUAAUGAUGACUGCAUGAAUGUGUCACUAGCAAAAGAGACCAUUUUGAGAAGAAACUGUAUUUUGACUGUAAGUUGUAAGUUUAAUGAAAUACUGUAUUUUGUGACAA
Cavia porcellus (domestic guinea pig) is the source of this 443-nucleotide long non-coding RNA. RefSeq lists it as uncharacterized. NCBI's taxonomy places the organism in Eukaryota, Metazoa, Chordata, Mammalia, Rodentia, Caviidae. The transcript is spliced from 2 exons. The record is from RefSeq and is a predicted model, not a curated record.